This is a long non-coding RNA of Mastomys coucha (southern multimammate mouse), 327 nucleotides long. RefSeq lists it as uncharacterized. NCBI's taxonomy places the organism in Eukaryota, Metazoa, Chordata, Mammalia, Rodentia, Muridae. The transcript has 2 exons. The record is from RefSeq and is a predicted model, not a curated record.
CUGGGCACGAUCACGGGGUCUCAUGUAAAGGUACACCAUGGUUUUGACAUGGCUGUGCACCUGUCAUCUCAGGAGUAGAGAGGUAUCCACUAGACCCUCAGGACAGGUGGUCACCUGAGCUAUUGGGACAGACCCCGUCCAGCCCUCAGAGGGGGGCCAGCCCUACCAACACCCAUCUGUAUGGCUGCAGACAGCAUCUCUGAUCUCUGCUGUCAAAGACAUCAACCUGUGGCUUUCUGCUGUGGUGACAGCUCCUUGGGGGAGAGGGGAGGGAAUGACACCGCAACAGUGCAUUGCACUCCCUGCCACAUACAAAUAGUUCUAGAA